GGGGACAUAGCUCAGUUGGGAGAGCAACAGACUGAAGAGCAGCGACGACCAAGUUCUUCUGGAGGUCCCCAGUUCAAUCCUGGGUGUCCCCA
Hymenopellis radicata is the source of this 92-nucleotide non-coding RNA. Lineage: Eukaryota; Fungi; Basidiomycota; Agaricomycetes; Agaricales; Physalacriaceae. The record is from the annotation of a GenBank genome assembly.